RNAcentral lists this ribosomal RNA (901 nucleotides) under uncultured organism. Its description in RNAcentral is "bacterial SSU rRNA". It matches the Rfam family "Bacterial small subunit ribosomal RNA", at positions 216 to 1113 of the family's 1533-position model. The record is from RNAcentral.
CGCUGAAAGAUAAAUCUGUUUAAGAUUAGGUUGUUGGUAAUUUAAAAGCUUACCAAGCCAAUGAUCUUUAGUUGGUCUGAGAGGAUGAUCAACCACACUGGAACUGAAACAAGGUCCAGGCUAAUACGUUGGCCAGCAGUGGGGGAUAUUGGACAAUGAACGAAAGUUUGAUCCAGCAAUACUAACUGGGUGACGACGGCUUAUUUAAGUUGUAAGAUCCUUUAAUUGAAGAAGAUAAUGACACUAUUUAAUUGAAUUAGUCCUGGCUAAUACUCGUGCCAGCAGCCGCGGUAAUACGGGAAGGGCAAGCGUUAUCCGGCAUGACUGGGCGUAAAGAGUCCGUAGACUGUAAAAUAAGUUUUUUGUUAAAUUUUAAGACCUAAUCUUAACAUAGCAACUAAUACUAUUUUACUGUGAGUCUAAUACAGAAAAGUAGAAUUUUAUACGAAAGAGGUGAAAUUUGCAGAUAUAUAAAGGAAUGCCAAAAGCGAAGGCAACUUUUUAGUAUAGACUGACGUUGAGGGACGAAAGCGUGGGUAGCAAACGGGAUUAGAGACCCCGGUAGUCCACGCCGUAAAUUCUGAGUGCUGUAAUUUAAUUGUAAUAUUUUUUAAAAUAUUAUUUAGAUUUUCAAGCUAACGCAAUAAGCACUCCGCCUGAAAAGUACGAUCGCAAGAUUGGAACUCAAAGGAAUUGACGGGGGUCUAACACUAGUGGUGGAGCAUGUGGUUUAAUGCGAUAAUCCGCGCAAAACCUUACCAAUUCUUGACAUAAUUGUAUAAUUACGCUUAACCUUAUUUUGUAUGGCUUAAUUAUUUAUUACAGGUGUUGCACGACUGUCGUCAGCUCGUGUCGUGAGAUGUUUGGUUAAGUCCUGAAACGGGCGUAACUCUUACUUUUA